Molecule: ribosomal RNA, 486 nt
Filed under: uncultured bacterium
Lineage: Bacteria
Description: partial 16S ribosomal RNA
Rfam family: Bacterial small subunit ribosomal RNA
Source: RNAcentral
AUUGAACGCUGGCGGCAUGCCUUACACAUGCGAGUCGAACGGCAGCACGGGUGCUUGCACCUGGUGGCGAGUGGCGAACGGGUGAGUAAUACAUCGGAACAUGUCCUGUAGUGGGGGAUAGCCCGGCGAAAGCCGGAUUAAUACCGCAUACGAUCUACGGAUGAAAGCGGGGGACCUUCGGGCCUCGCGCUAUAGGGUUGGCCGAUAGCUGAUUAGCUAGUUGGUGGGGUAAAGGCCUACCAAGGCGACGAUCAGUAGCUGGUCUGAGAGGACGACCAGCCACACUGGGACUGAGACACGGCCCAGACUCCUACGGGAGGCAGCAGUGGGGAAUUUUGGACAAUGGGCGAAAGCCUGAUCCAGCAAUGCCGCGUGUGUGAAGAAGGCCUUCGGGUUGUAAAGCACUUUUGUCCGGAAAGAAAUCCUUGGCUCUAAUACAGUCGGGGGAUGACGGUACCGGAAGAAUAAGCACCGGCUAACUACGUG